AGCGAACGCUGGCGGCGUGCCUAACACAUGCAAGUCGAACGUGAACGGGCUUCGGCCUUAGUAAAGUGGCGUACGGGUGAGUAACGCGUAGGUAAUCUACCUUAGAGUUUGGAAUAACCUGCCGAAAGGCGGGCUAAUACCAGAUAGAGCGAUGGGAUUCGUAAUGGAAUCUUUCGGGAAAGGGAGCGGGCAACCGCCCUCGCUUUAGGAUGAGCCUGCGUCUCAUUAGCUAGUAGGUGAGGUAAUGGCUCACCUAGGCGACGAUACAUAGCCGACCUGAGAGGGUGAUCGGCCACACUGGGACUGAGACACGGCCCAGACUCCUACGGGAGGCAGCAGUAGGGAAUCUUCGGGCAAUGGGGGCAACCCUGACCGAGCAACGCCGCGUGAGUGAAGAAGGUUUUCGGAUCGUAAAGCUCUGUUGUAAGUCAAGAACGGGUGUGAGAGUGGAAAGUUCACAC
RNAcentral lists this ribosomal RNA (461 nucleotides) under uncultured bacterium. RNAcentral's name for it is "bacterial SSU rRNA". It matches the Rfam family "Bacterial small subunit ribosomal RNA", at positions 29 to 469 of the family's 1533-position model. The record is from RNAcentral.